Molecule: non-coding RNA, 89 nt
Organism: Lentinula novae-zelandiae
Lineage: Eukaryota; Fungi; Basidiomycota; Agaricomycetes; Agaricales; Omphalotaceae
Source: the annotation of a GenBank genome assembly
UGCCCCAUGGCUGAGUUGGUUACAGCGUCCGACUGUUAAUUCGUAACAGGUGAAUCGGAAGGUCGAGAGUUCGAGCCUCUCUGGGGCAG